Molecule: long non-coding RNA, 669 nt
Organism: Schistocerca gregaria
Lineage: Eukaryota; Metazoa; Arthropoda; Insecta; Orthoptera; Acrididae
Exons: 4
Source: RefSeq, a predicted model, not a curated record
GAGGCAUCCAUAAGACAGAGACGGAGAGCACCGCGUGGAUCGUGGAGUCCAGCUGGGCCCUGACGCACCCCGACUACAGCCUGUUCGCGUACUACAGCCAUAGCGUGGCUGUCGUGUACCUGCCCGAGGAAGCUCCUCUGAACAGUUUCAUCGGCCUGGUUGCACUACCUUCUGCUCUCGAGGUCAACGACACCUUCGUGGGAGAAAACGCGAUCAUCGCCGGCUGGGGACGGCCUUCUCAAUCUGUAGACGGUUCAGAGACUCUUCAGUGGACUGAUGUGACGGUUGUUCCCAACCAAGUAUGCGAGCAGUUCUACGAAUCAGGCGCCGUUAUUGAAAGCACGCUGUGUGCCGGAAACGAGUACACUGGCUCUUGCUGGGGGGACCUCGGUAGCGCGCUUGUUGUCAAGAGCGCCGGCGGCUACAAGCAGAUUGGGGUGUCCAGCUUCCUUCCGGAGGAGGGCUGUGACGUAGCCGGGGCAGCCGCUGCCUACGUCAGGAUCACCUCCGUGCUCGACUGGAUCACCAGCAACGCCAUCAGCGUUUAGCCACAACCUGGUGUUGCCUACGAUGGACUUCCGUCGUUGCGCCUUCUCUGAGCUUAGCUGAAUUCAAUAGCAUUUCCUUCUAAUGUACUUCUGUUUCUGUUUUAAUUCAAAUAUGGUGGAG